GACGAACGCUGGCGGCGUGCUUAACACAUGCAAGUCGAACGGAAAGGCCCUGCUUUUGUGGGGUGCUCGAAUGGCGAACGGGUGAGUAACACGUGAGUAACCUGCCCUUGACUUUGGGAUAACUUCAGGAAACUGGGGCUAAUACCGGAUAGGAGCUCCGGCUGCAUGGUGGGGGUUGGAAAGUUUCGGCGGUUGGGGAUGGACUCGCGGCUUAUCAGCUUGUUGGUGGGGUAGUGGCUUACCAAGGCUUUGACGGGUAGCCGGCCUGAGAGGGUGACCGGCCACAUUGGGACUGAGAUACGGCCCAGACUCCUACGGGAGGCAGCAGUGGGGAAUAUUGCACAAUGGGCGGAAGCCUGAUGCAGCAACGCCGCGUGCGGGAUGACGGCCUUCGGGUUGUAAACCGCUUUCGCCUGUGACGAAGCGUGAGUGACGGUAAUGGGUAAAGAAGCACCGGCUAACUACGUG
This 468-nucleotide ribosomal RNA is filed under the name uncultured bacterium. RNAcentral describes it as "partial 16S ribosomal RNA". It matches the Rfam family "Bacterial small subunit ribosomal RNA", at positions 28 to 507 of the family's 1533-position model. The record is from RNAcentral.